GAACAUUUGGCAAAAUUAUUUUAAGUAGCACUCCAACCUGUGAUCAUAAUUUCAAAUCAAGGAAUUUGCUGAGCAGCUGUGGGCAGAACAAAGGACCUGGGAGUGAUUUAGGAACCGGGGGGAGGGGAGGCUGCAUAGCCAGGACAGAAGCAGCUGGGGAAGCAGGUUGUCUGCCGGCUAGGCCCUGCCUUCGGUCUACACGGGGCGACAGUGCCGUUUCCAUCUGCUGAACACACCACGCACAGCACUUAAAAAUGGAUACACGGAGCAGAGGACUGAGAUUCAAUUUAACAUGAUGGCUGAGAGCUUCAGCUCAGGAGUGGGACGGACCUGGCCUUGAAUCCUCGUUCUGCCACUCAUCCGCCUUGGUUGAGUCAUCUAUAAAAUGGGAACAAUCGCAGCAACCACAUCUUAGGGACUAUUAUGAUAUGUAUACGUCAUAUAUUUGUCUGGCCUAGUUACUAGCACAUAGUAAGUGUUCAAAAUGCUAUUAUUAUUGCCAAUAUGCAGAAAUGGACAAUUUCUGUCUUUGCAAUCGAUUCAUUCACCAAACAUCUAUCCAGCACCCCUUGUGCUCUAGGUACAUGCCAGGAGUUGUAGGGGUGAUCUAGUCCAGCCUUUCAUCUUUUUAACAGAAUUUCUGAUGGAUGAUAGUUGAGCUUCUGCUCAAACUCUGCUAGGAACGGAGAGCUCACUACUUCAAAAGGACUCCUACCACACCAUGGCUUGCCAAGCGGUGCCACAUCCCCACCUGGGAUCUGAACCAGUGAACCCCGGGCCGCUGAAGUGGAACAUGCGCACUUAACUCCUGUCCACUGGGCCAGCCCCUAGAUAAUUGCUUCAACUCUUCACUUCUCCUGAUCUUUGUCGGAUAGCCUGUUCGGUCCCGGCAGCCAUCUGUUCCUACUCCUCAACUCUCAUUUCUUUGUUUGACCUUCAUUCCUCAUCCUUGGCCUUAAAGUCAUCUUUGUAUGCACACCUGCCUUCAACAUUUGUCCAGUCAAGUAAGUUCCCCAUGCAUAGACACAAAAGAUGAAAGAACACUGCCAAACGAACUUUUAGCAGUUGAAAUGGUCCAGGAUCGGGUGACAAAAUAUUACUUGAUGAAGUCUUUCCCCUGGAGUGACUGACUGAGAACAUCAUAUUUCCUUUUGGUCCACAGAAAUAUAUCAUUCACCCAUCAACUUUUGAAUUUGAGAAAAUUCAUUGAGGAUAUUGUUAUCUGAAGGCUUAUGGUCUGAGAUUUCACUUAUAUGAUCAAUUUCGUCUUUGUUAUUAGAGUCUAGACCUCUGCUGUCUCUGCCUUCAUUUCUGAUUCAUCUAAGAACUGUGACACAUCUUUCUUUAUUUUUUCUCCCUGCCAUUACAGACAGAAAGGAAAAAAUUCUAAAUUUUCAACUGUGUUCAAUGCAAGCUACAAAAAUGGUGUCUCUAUUCUUCUUUUAUAUCUCCUUAAAGAUGAUGCCACAUCAUGCCAUACUUUCCCCAAUGCAACAGGAAUACAGAGAAUGAUGCAACUGUGAUAAUUUCACUAUUGUAUCAUCCUUCUAAUCUAGGUCAUUCCAGCACCCUUCUUCUUCUUCUUCUCCUUCUUCAAUUCUUCUUCUAAUUCUAAUUCUUCUUCUUCUUCUUCUUCUUCUUCUUCUUCUUCUUCUUCUUCUUCUUCUUCUUCUUCUUCUUCUUCUUCCCCUCGUCCUCCCCCCCCACCUUUUUUCUUAGUAUUAUUCAGAAUAAUUCAUGAGUAAUGAUGAAGUAGAAAACAUGUUUCAAGAUAUGGGAAAAAUAAGUACCCUAAGAUCCAUAAAUGUCACUUAGAUGUAUAAAAG
Molecule: long non-coding RNA, 1826 nt
Filed under: Equus asinus (donkey)
Lineage: Eukaryota; Metazoa; Chordata; Mammalia; Perissodactyla; Equidae
Description: lncRNA (ENSEASG00005034883.1)
Source: RNAcentral